UACGUAGGGGGCUAGCGUUGUCCGGAAUCAUUGGGCGUAAAGCGCGUGUAGGCGGUCCGGUAAGUCCGCUGUGAAAGUCGGGGGCUCAACCCUCGAAUGCCGGUGGAUACUGUCGGGCUAGAGUGCGGAAGAGGCGAGUGGAAUUCCUGGUGUAGCGGUGAAAUGCGCAGAUAUCAGGAGGAACACCAAUUGCGAAGGCAGCUCGCUGGGACGUUACUGACGCUGAGGCACGAAGGUCAGGGGAGCAAACGGG
This 253-nucleotide ribosomal RNA is filed under the name uncultured bacterium. Its description in RNAcentral is "partial 16S ribosomal RNA". It matches the Rfam family "Bacterial small subunit ribosomal RNA", at positions 524 to 776 of the family's 1533-position model. The record is from RNAcentral.